Long non-coding RNA from Strongylocentrotus purpuratus (purple sea urchin), 163 nucleotides. RefSeq lists it as uncharacterized. Lineage: Eukaryota; Metazoa; Echinodermata; Echinoidea; Camarodonta; Strongylocentrotidae. The transcript has 2 exons. The record is from RefSeq and is a predicted model, not a curated record.
AGUGAAACAGAAUUAAAAAAAUCAGGUUGCUCAUUAGAAGUAGAAGAAAAUCAAGUUGUUUAGAAGCACUUCCUGUGGACGAUGGAUGGACCAGACUCAUCGUAUUCCUGCUUGCUGAUCCACAUCUGUUGGAAGGUGGAGAGAGAGGCAAGAAUGGAGCCUC